GAAAUGCGAUAAGUAAUGUGAAUUGCAGAAUUCCGUGAAUCAUCGAAUCUUUGAACGCACAUUGCGCCCCCUGGCAUUCCGGGGGGCAUGCCUGUCCGAGCGUCAUUUCUGCCCUCAAGCACGGCUUGUGUGUUGGGUGUGGUCCCCCCGGGGACCUGCCCGAAAGGCAGCGGCGACGUCCGUCUGGUCCUCGAGCGUAUGGGGCUCUGUCACUCGCUCGGGAAGGACCUGCGGGGGUUGGUCACCACCAUAUUUCACCACGGUUGACCUCGGAUCAGGAAGGAGUUACCCGCUGAACUUAAGC
Molecule: unclassified non-coding RNA, 304 nt
Filed under: plant metagenome
Description: partial contains 5.8S ribosomal RNA, internal transcribed spacer 2, and large subunit ribosomal RNA
Rfam family: 5.8S ribosomal RNA (bases 1-105)
Source: RNAcentral